This is a non-coding RNA of Jatropha curcas, 1238 nucleotides long. The record is from RefSeq and is a predicted model, not a curated record. Lineage: Eukaryota; Viridiplantae; Streptophyta; Magnoliopsida; Malpighiales; Euphorbiaceae.
ACUUGGCUCAACUCAGGACACCCAAAAAGGAAAAUUUAUGCAAGAUUAGGUAUUUCAAGAUAAUGACAAAGUUACAAAUAAGAGGAGUAAUAACAUAGAUGCAACAAAUAUGCUAGAUUUCCAUGGCGGCGGAUCAUCAUUGCAGCUCCGACAUUUCUUCCCUUCAAGUCGACAUUAUCGAAACAGCCAUAGCUUCUUUCUGGUUCCAUGAUUUGAUCUUAGAGAUAGGGCUGAUAGUGGCAAAAGCUAUUGUUGUUGCGAGAGAGGAACAUUUAUGAGUGGUUGGUUUCUUCUUUACUUGUAAUCUGAGUUAUGUAAUAUUGAACCUUUCUUAUGCUACAGAGAAAAGUAAUAUCCUCUAGGAGGAAUGACUUGAGACUCAAUCUACCAUUUCUUUCUCGUGUUGUUGAAGACAUUUGGAAAUGAGCACAUGUCUAUGCAUCAUAUCAAAUUACCACCAAAGAGAUUGACAAGGAUCAAUUUAGUGCUGUGCUUAAGUAGCCCUAGACUGUAAUUUAAAUGAAUUUUUGAAGCAUUUUUAAGCAGGCAUAGUCCCACUAAUCGAGUACCUUCUAACCCAACAAGUACAUGGAUUUCUUCUUUUAUAAUCUUCUUAUGAACCAUUGUUUACAACUGCAAAUUUCUUCCAUUACUCCCCCUUUCAAUCUCUAUGUACCCAAAUCAAAUCCCUAAACUUUGGUGCCAAAACUAGGGCAAGUCAUUCUCAGCAUAAUAGACCAUACUUUCAUGCACUUAAUACCAAAUCAGAUCAGAUCCUUCAACAUUUUAGCUUCGUAUGGAGAGAUGCGAGUUGUGACCAGAUAAGGGAAUGAAAAUAUCACUCUAUCCAGUUGUCUGAUAAAUUGCAAUUUCAAUUUCAAUCUCAAUCAAGACUGUCUCUCUAGUAUUGAAUGAAAAUGGAUAUUAUUUCUAACUCCAAUGAACGGAAUUUGAUAAAACAAAAUGGCUAAAAGCAAUAAUGAAACAAACUCCAGUUUCUUACACCUGCAAUGAACUCCCAAGAUUUAGGGGUCUGCAGUAAGGACUUGAUUCUUUUUCUUUUUAAUGCAUAAUUACAAAAGUAAUACGUCUACCGAUCAGACAAUUUAGAAGCUAUUAAGGAUGAUCCACUUCAUUAUUGUUUCCUAGAGUGAGUGCAUAGAAACUGGUUAAGCUUUCAAAAUCUAUGAUGCGAAGGCUCGGAACUUAUUAGUGAUCCCACAAUACAAUACAACAUA